AGCAGCCGCGGGAACACCGGCGGCCCGAGUGGUGAUCGUGAUUAUUGGGUCUAAAGGGUCCGUAGCCGGUUUGGUCAGUCCUCCGGGAAAUCUGAUAGCUCAACUAUUAGGCUUUCGGGGGAUACUGCCAGACUUGGAACCGGGAGAGGUAAGAGGUACUACAGGGGUAGGAGUGAAAUCUUGUAAUCCCUGUGGGACCACCUGUGGCGAAGGCGUCUUACCAGAACGGGUUCGACGGUGAGGGACGAAAGCUGGGGGCACGAACCGGAUUAGAUACCCGGGUAGUCCCAGCCGUAAACGAUGCUCGCUAGGUGUCAGGCAUGGCGCGACCGUGUCUGGUGCCGCAGGGAAGCCGUGAAGCGAGCCACCUGGGAAGUACGGCCGCAAGGCUGAAACUUAAAGGAAUUGGCGGGGGAGCACAACAAACCGGGUGGAGCCUGCGGUUUAAUUGGACUCAACGCCGGACAACUCACCGGGGGCGACAGCAAUAUGUAGGCCAAGCUGAAGACUUUGCCUGAAUCGCUGAGGGGAGGUGCAUGG
Molecule: ribosomal RNA, 540 nt
Filed under: uncultured archaeon
Lineage: Archaea
Description: bacterial SSU rRNA
Rfam family: Archaeal small subunit ribosomal RNA
Source: RNAcentral